UAGGGAAUUUUCGUCAAUGGGCGGCAAGCCUGAACGAGCAAUGCCGCGUGAACGAGGAAGGUCUUCGGAUCGUAAAGUUCUGUUGAAGGGGAAAAAGAGCGGAGAGAGGAAAU
This 113-nucleotide ribosomal RNA is filed under the name uncultured bacterium. RNAcentral's name for it is "partial 16S ribosomal RNA". It matches the Rfam family "Bacterial small subunit ribosomal RNA", at positions 355 to 465 of the family's 1533-position model. The record is from RNAcentral.